Molecule: long non-coding RNA, 371 nt
Filed under: Pongo abelii (Sumatran orangutan)
Lineage: Eukaryota; Metazoa; Chordata; Mammalia; Primates; Hominidae
Description: lincRNA
Source: RNAcentral
AGAUGCUGGCAGGGCUGGUCUGAGGCUGCCCAAGGGUGGGUGAGUGCACCGCCCUUCCACCCUAGGGUCCGUUAUUCCUAGACCAGCGCCCAGAUUGCGGGGUCGUGGGCGUUGGACACUGUGCAGCCAUGAGGAUCUGGUUGGGCGGAGAUUCCUGCCCUCCUGCGGCUGAGAGGCCAACCUCCUAACACACGCUGCAGUGACCUCUGGCUCUGCGGUCCGCGCUCCUGCUGGAGCUGGUAGAGACCAGAGCUGCCACCGCUGCUGCUUCCAGGAGUGUGCAGGUGGCAGCUGCCGCUGAGCCCGCGGCAGAGGAUAGCAGGGCUUGUUCCAGAAGGCUUGAGGGUCCCCGAGUGCACCGCCCUCCCACC